Molecule: long non-coding RNA, 956 nt
Organism: Dermochelys coriacea (leatherback sea turtle)
Lineage: Eukaryota; Metazoa; Chordata; Testudines; Dermochelyidae
Exons: 6
Source: RefSeq, a predicted model, not a curated record
UCUGUUUCUAUUGUCUUCAGUGUCAAGUAGCAAGUGACAUGAAUGAAUGCUGCUGUUGUGGCGGAAGCGUUGCCAUGAGGACUCUCUACCGGACAAGAUACGGAAUCUCUAUCUUCAAUACCUGAAGGAUGCAGGUGAAUUGGAAGGAAAUUAGAGAAGAGCAGUGAAACUAAUUUGGAGCAUGGAGGCAUUGACCAUAAGGAAAAUUCAGAGCUAAAUUUGUAUAGUUUUUGACAGUCAGUGGGGGGAGGGCUAUAACUGCAAAGACCUGAAAGGUAUGGAGCAGUGUGUUAAGGAGUGGUGUGAGGACCUGCAAAAGGAUGAAGUUAAGAAAAGAAAUAGUUUAGCUGAAUAUCAGAAAAUAUAUCCUAACCCUAAAUGCAAAAAACUGUUUAUCCGUUGAAAAAUUCCCCCACUGGAAACAUUUAAAAUGGAAACUGGACAGAACCCCAGAGGUUACUCUAUAAGGAACAAUCCUGCACAGGGAUCCAUCUGCUCUGAUUUCUGCAUUAUCCUGUGGUGGUCCUGUGUGUUCUGUUUGUCAAAUAAAGAGAGAUAUUAACAAAAGGAAAAAAUUAAGGAUAUUCUAAUAAGAGCCAAUUCCUGUCCUCAUAACUCUCUAGCCUCCUUGAUUUGAGGCAGAUUCAUUAAAAUAUACAGGUCUGCACUACAAGCAAUGAUAAGCAAUCAAGCAGCGUGUUCCUGUACUUCUUGAUUGUGUGUCGUAGAGCCUCUAUAUACAAGAGUCUUCCCACCGCCUGCUGUACUUACACUUCAAGAAAGUGCUGUAUGCAUUUUAAUUUGAUUGUUGCAAAGCACAACUUAUCUGAAAAAAGUCAGCAAAGGAAAGAAACAUCCUCAAUUUUGUCUUUGCAUGUAUGUGUGUUAACUUUCACUAUUGCUUCUCAAGUACCACUGUAUGUACUAAGCUGUCUUGAAAAGAUUUUCAUACACUG